RNAcentral lists this ribosomal RNA (253 nucleotides) under uncultured bacterium. RNAcentral describes it as "partial 16S ribosomal RNA". It matches the Rfam family "Bacterial small subunit ribosomal RNA", at positions 524 to 776 of the family's 1533-position model. The record is from RNAcentral. RNAcentral also lists the same sequence under 1 other name.
UACGGAGGGUGCAAACGUUGCUCGGAAUCAUUGGGCGUAAAGCGCACGUAGGCGGUCCAGUAAGUCGGGUGUGAAAGCCCUCGGCUUAACCGAGGAAGUGCAUUCGAAACUGCUGGACUUGAAUACUGGAGAGGAUCGCGGAAUUCCCGGUGUAGAGGUGAAAUUCGUAGAUAUCGGGAGGAACACCAGUGGCGAAGGCGGCGAUCUGGACAGAUAUUGACGCUGAUGUGCGAAAGCGUGGGGAGCAAACAGG